This 951-nucleotide long non-coding RNA is filed under the name Homo sapiens (human). Its description in RNAcentral is "NEMP2 divergent transcript, transcript variant 3 (NEMP2-DT)". The record is from RNAcentral. Lineage: Eukaryota; Metazoa; Chordata; Mammalia; Primates; Hominidae.
GCGGCCUCGGGGCACGGCGGGCCCAGGCCGGAGGAGCUUUCGGUGGCGCGACCCCGCUGGCAUGCUCCCGGCCUCGGCCUCGGCCUCGGCCUUGGCCUCCGGGCCUCCAGCGCACGCGGGGCGUCCAGGGCCUCAUCUUCCCCUGGGGACCGCCCGGCCGUGUCCCGCUGCCCUCGGCGCAGGGGUGGGAGUUGCAGAGAGGAAGAGUCGCUAACCCGGAGUGUUUCUUAAAACUUGGCUGACCUGUGACCUGCGGAUUUGGAGGCUGAAUUCUCCGAGCACCUGAAGCUACUGCAGGAUAUAAUCUAAGAAAAUAAGGGGAAGAAAACAAGAAAGAGGAAGACAUUGGAUCCAAGAAAUGGGGGAUCUAUCACCUUACAGAUGAAAAGAGAAUCUACAUGAUCUUUGUGAAGGUGAUUUGAGCAUAGCAGCUCUGCAGGAAACCUGGAGAGCAACAAGUGAGAUUAAUACAGGACACACAGCUCUAAUAUGACCUUGGGACUUGCUUUAGCCAGUGGAAUGGAAGCAGAAGUAACCUGUAAUUUCCAGGCCCGAGUUCCUGCCACUUCAAGACUUCACCACCUGAGACAAUGAGCAGCAGCAAAGGGAGAAAGCAGCUGCUCAAAUUCUCCAGUAUGUGUGGAUGGAGUGAGGAGGGAUGCUGGGAUAAAAUACUUAGAGAAAAACCCCAGCCCAGGGGCAUGGGCCCAAAUACUGAGGGGCAAAACCUGAACCAGAAGCACCUAUAUGAUGAGAAAGUGAAGAAAAAAAAGGAUGACAGUAAAAUGGUACUGGAAUUAGGGACAUCAUAAAAAUUGACCUCGGUUUUAGAUGUUGAAGAAAUGACAAAAUGAAUAGAAAAAUUAGUAGAGUUAAUAUUUAUGUCUAAUUAUUAUGCAGUAUAUUUCUAUAUAUAAUGUGUUAAUAAAACUUAAAUGUAUUAAAACUAAA